UUUUAUCUUUAUUAUUUUCUACCUUCUUUUUGGUUUGUGUUUAAUUUUCUCCUUUUUAGUUUCUUAAGGUACAAACUUAGGUAACUAACUUAAGGCUUUUCUUCUUUUCCAAUAUAAGGAUUUAAUGCUCUAAAUUUUCCUCUAAAUGCUGCCCCAGCUUCACAUUUUAUUUUUUACUUUAAUGAUUUUUUUCCAUUUUUCCCUUGUGACUUCCUUUUUUGAUCCAAGGGUUGAUUUCCAGCUAUUUGGGGACUUCCUGAGAUUAUUUUGUAAUUAGUUCUCAUUUCACUUUGUUGUACUCUGAGAACAUACUAGUGUUGUUUCAGUUCUUUUAAAUUGAUUGCAGUUAGUUAUUGUGGCCCAGAAUAUGAUCUAUCUUAAUGUAUGUUCCAUUUGCCAUUGGAGAAAAAAGCAUAUUCUGCUGUUGUUGGGUAGAACAUUUUAUAAAUGUUAGGUGAGGUUUAUUAAUAGAGUUAUUGAGACUUUUGUAUCCUUGCUGGUUUUCUUUCCACUUAUUGCAUUAACCAGUGAGCACAAAGUCUCUGAUUGUAAUUGUGGAUCUGAUUAGUUUUUCAGUCUACCAGUUUUGGCUUCAUGUAUUUUGAAGUUCUGUUGUUUUGUGUAUACACAUUUAAUUCUAUACCUUUUUAGUGAAAUUACUCCUUUUAUUAUUUUUCAGGGGUCCUCUUUUCCUAGGUUAAUUUUCUUGUUUUCGUGUCUACUUUGUUUACUUCUAUUUUUUUAUUUAAAAUUUUUUUUUUUGUACUUGUAGAUGGACAGAAUGCCUUUAUUUUAUUUAUUUUUAUGUGGUGCUGAGGAUCGAACCCAGUGCCUCAUGCAUGCUAGGCAAUCUGCCCCUGAGCUACAGCCCCAGCCCCUGUUUACUUUUAAU
Molecule: long non-coding RNA, 892 nt
Filed under: Marmota monax (woodchuck)
Lineage: Eukaryota; Metazoa; Chordata; Mammalia; Rodentia; Sciuridae
Source: RNAcentral